RNAcentral lists this ribosomal RNA (460 nucleotides) under uncultured bacterium. Its description in RNAcentral is "partial 16S ribosomal RNA". It matches the Rfam family "Bacterial small subunit ribosomal RNA", at positions 338 to 795 of the family's 1533-position model. The record is from RNAcentral.
CCUACGGGUGGCAGCAGUGAGGAAUAUUGGUCAAUGGACGAGAGUCUGAACCAGCCAAGUAGCGUGAAGGAUGACUGCCCUAUGGGUUGUAAACUUCUUUUAUAUGGGAAUAAAACGUUCCACGUGUGGGAUUUUGUAUGUACCAUAUGAAUAAGGAUCGGCUAAUUCCGUGCCAGCAGCCGCGGUAAUACGGAGGGUCCGAGCGUUAUCCGGAUUUAUUGGGUUUAAAGGGAGCGUAGGUCGCUUGUUAAGUGAGUUGUGAAAGUUUGCGGCUCAACCGUAGAAUUGCAGUUCAAACUGGGGGUCUUGAGUGCAGUAGAGGUGGGCGGAAUUCGUGGUGUAGCGGUGAAAUGCUUAGAUAUCAUGAAGAACUCCGAUUGCGAAGGCAGCUCACUGGACUGCUACUGACACUGAGGCUCGAAAGUGUGGGUAUCAAACAGGAUUAGAUACCCUGGUAGUC